This 468-nucleotide ribosomal RNA is filed under the name uncultured bacterium. Its description in RNAcentral is "partial 16S ribosomal RNA". It matches the Rfam family "Bacterial small subunit ribosomal RNA", at positions 28 to 507 of the family's 1533-position model. The record is from RNAcentral.
GACGAACGCUGGCGGCGUGCUUAACACAUGCAAGUCGAACGGAAAGGCCCUGCUUUUGUGGGGUGCUCGAGUGGCGAACGGGUGAGUAACACGUGAGUAACCUGCCCUUGACUUUGGGAUAACUUCAGGAAACUGGGGCUAAUACCGGAUAGGAGCUCCUGCUGCAUGGUGGGGGUUGGAAAGUUUCGGCGGUUGGGGAUGGACUCGCGGCUUAUCAGCUUGUUGGUGGGGUAGUGGCUUACCAAGGCUUUGACGGGUAGCCGGCCUGAGAGCGUGACCGGCCACCUUGGGACUGAGAUACGGCCCAGACUCCUACGUGCGGCAGCAGUGGGGAAUAUUGCACAAUGGGCGGAAGCCUGAUGCAGCAACGCCGCGUGCGUGAUGACGGCCUUCGGGUUGUAAACCGCUUUCGCCUGUGACGAAGCGUGAGUGACGGUAAUGGGUAAAGAAGCACCGGCUAACUACGUG